Molecule: ribosomal RNA, 803 nt
Filed under: Pyrenula sp. F 19082-r
Lineage: Eukaryota; Fungi; Ascomycota; Eurotiomycetes; Pyrenulales; Pyrenulaceae
Description: eukaryotic LSU rRNA
Rfam family: Eukaryotic large subunit ribosomal RNA
Source: RNAcentral
CGGUGCACUCUGCUGUUUCCAGGCCAGCAUCGGUUUGGGUAGUUAGUUAAAGGCCGGGGGAAUGUAUCUGCCCUUCGGGACAGACUUAUAGCCCUUGGUGACAUCUAGCUUACCUGGACCGAGGAACGCGCUUCGGCACGGAUGCUGGCGUAAUGGUUGUAAGCGGCCCGUCUUGAAACACCGGACCAAGGAGUCUAACAUCUAUGCGAGUGUUUGGGUGUCAAACCCCUGCGCGUAAUGAAAGUGAACGGAGGUAGGAGCCUUUGGGCGCACUAUCGACCGAUCCUGAUGUCUUCGGAUGGAUUUGAGUAAGAGCAUAGCUGUUGGGACCCGAAAGAUGGUGAACUAUGCCUGAAUAGGGUGAAGCCAGAGGAAACUCUGGUGGAGGCUCGCAGCGGUUCUGACGUGCAAAUCGAUCGUCAAAUUUGGGUAUAGGGGCGAAAGACUAAUCGAACCAUCAGUUUUUGGUUGUCAGGUGGUUCAGCCAAGAGAUUUUAUCUCUUAACAGUCCAUAUGGGCAACGUCCUUAGUAUGUAUGGGAACCGAAUUUAUAACGGAAUCCACAGCAGCGCUUAAGUAAUGCUGUUUACAGACUAAAGAGGGGCGGUCGGUUAAACAUAGUUAAAAGCCGAUAAAAAUAUAGUCGGAAAGAAUUUGAUGUUGGUUGUAGUAGAUGGUUAAGUCUUAACUAUCUUGACGCCUGUAUCGUCAAGGAUUCUUUAUGCUGGUAGCUGGUUCCUGCCGAAGUUUCCCUCAGGAUAGCAGUAACGUUUUCAGUUUUAUGAGGUAAAGCAAUGAUUAGC